UGGGGAAUAUUGCACAAUGGGCGGAAGCCUGAUGCAGCAACGCCGCGUGAGUGAUGAAGGCCUUCGGGUUGUAAAGCUCUGUCUUUUGGGACGAUAAUGACGGUACCAAAGGAGGAAGCCACGGCUAACUACGUGCCAGCAGCCGCGGUAAUACGUAGGUGGCAAGCGUUGUCCGGAUUUACUGGGCGUAAAGGAUGCGUAGGCGGAUUUUUAAGUGAGAUGUGAAAUACCCGGGCUUAACUUGGGUGCUGCAUUUCAAACUGGGAAUCUAGAGUGCGGGAGAGGAGAAUGGAAUUCCUAGUGUAGCGGUGAAAUGCGUAGAGAUUAGGAAGAACACCAGUGGCGAAGGCGAUUCUCUGGACCGUAACUGACGCUGGAGGCAAUGAAAGGCGAUGGGUAGCAAACCAGGAUUAGAUACCCUGGUAGUCACGCCGUAAACGAUGAGUA
Molecule: ribosomal RNA, 447 nt
Filed under: uncultured bacterium
Lineage: Bacteria
Description: partial 16S ribosomal RNA
Rfam family: Bacterial small subunit ribosomal RNA
Source: RNAcentral